Molecule: ribosomal RNA, 485 nt
Filed under: uncultured bacterium
Lineage: Bacteria
Description: bacterial SSU rRNA
Rfam family: Bacterial small subunit ribosomal RNA
Source: RNAcentral
GACGAACGCUGGCGGCGUGCUUAACACAUGCAAGUCGAACGAUGAAGCCCUGCUUGCAGGGUGGAUUAGUGGCGAACGGGUGAGUAACACGUGGGUGAUCUGCCCUGCACUUCGGGAUAAGCCUGGGAAACUGGGUCUAAUACCGGAUAUGACCCUCCUUUAGUGUGGGGGGUGGAAAGCUUUAGCGGUGUGGGAUGAGCCUGCGGCCUAUCAGCUUGUUGGUGGGGUAAUGGCCUACCAAGGCGUCGACGGGUAGCCGGCCUGAGAGGGUGAUCGGCCACAUUGGGACUGAGACACGGCCCAGACUCCUACGGGAGGCAGCAGUGGGGAAUAUUGCACAAUGGGCGAAAGCCUGAUGCAGCGACGCCGCGUGGGGGAUGAAGGCCUUCGGGUUGUAAACUCCUUUCGCUAGGGACGAAGAUGUAUUUUGACGGUACCUGGAGAAGAAGCACCGGCUAACUACGUGCCAGCAGCCGCAGUAAAAC